Molecule: ribosomal RNA, 409 nt
Filed under: Actinomycetes bacterium
Lineage: Bacteria; Bacillati; Actinomycetota; Actinomycetes
Description: Actinobacteria bacterium partial 16S ribosomal RNA
Rfam family: Bacterial small subunit ribosomal RNA
Source: RNAcentral
UGGGGAAUAUUGCACAAUGGGCGGAAGCCUGAUGCAGCGACGCCGCGUGGGGGAUGAAGGCCUUCGGGUUGUAAACUCCUUUCGACAGGGACGAAGCUUUUGUGACGGUACCUGUAUAAGAAGCACCGGCUAACUACGUGCCAGCAGCCGCGGUAAUACGUAGGGUGCGAGCGUUGUCCGGAAUUACUGGGCGUAAAGAGCUCGUAGGUGGUUUGUCGCGUCGUCUGUGAAAUUCCGGGGGUUAACUCCGGGCGUGCAGGCGAUACGGGCUGACUUGAGUGCUGUCGGGGAGACUGGAAUUCCUGGUGUGGCGGUGAAAUGCGCGGAUAUCAGGAGGAUCACCGAUGGCGAAGGCAUGUCUCUGGGCAGUAACUGACGCUGCGGAGCGAAAGCAUGGGUAGCGAACAGG